CCUACGGGAGGCAGCAGUGAGGAAUAUUGGUCAAUGGGCGCGAGCCUGAACCAGCCAAGUCGCGUGAGGGAUGACGGCCCUACGGGUUGUAAACCUCUUUUGCCGGGGAGCAACGGGCGCCACGUGUGGCGCCACUGAGAGUACCCGGAGAAAAAGCAUCGGCUAACUCCGUGCCAGCAGCCGCGGUAAUACGGAGGUUGCGAGCUUUAUCCGGAUUUAUGGGGUUUAAAGGUAGGGUAGGCGGCAGAUUAAGUGAUGUGUGAAAGCCCGCGGCUCAACCGCGGAAUUGCACAUAAAACUGGUAAGCUGGAGUGGAGGAGAGGUAAGUGGAAUUGCCGGUGUAGCGGUGGAAUGCGUAGAUAUCGGGAGGAACACCAGAGGCGAAGGCGACUUACUGGACUGUAUCUGACGCUGAGGCUCGAAAGCGUGGGGAGCAAACAGGAUUAGAUACCCGAGUAGUC
Molecule: ribosomal RNA, 461 nt
Filed under: uncultured bacterium
Lineage: Bacteria
Description: partial 16S ribosomal RNA
Rfam family: Bacterial small subunit ribosomal RNA
Source: RNAcentral